CAGAGCGCCGGCGCUGAUGGCGUAGGGGUCGUAGCCCUGGAAGAGAGCCUCUCUCUGCCUCGGGCUGGCCAGCUCUCGCACCCUCAGGCUGGGCACCGCACGGCGCACAGACCCGGGCACCGGCCAGCUGGAAGGACGCCCACACAGGUACCCAGGGGGGGUACGCUUUGGGGCUGGGGAGGGGGGGAGGGAGGGAGAGAGAGAGAGAGAGAGAGAGAGAGAGAGGGAGGGAGGGCGGGAGAGGGCGGGAGAGAGAGAGAGAGAGAGAGAGAGGAGGGAGGGGGGGAGGGGGAGAGAGAGAGGGGGACGGAGGGAGAGAGGGAGAGGGAGAGAGAAAGAGAGAGGGAGAGAGAGAGAGAGAGAGAGAGAGGGAGAGGGAAGGAGAGAGGGGGAGGGAGGGGUGAGGGUGAGAGAGAGAGAGAGAGCGAGGGAGUUGGUGAGAGAGAGAGAGAGAGAGAGAGAGAGAGAGAGAGAGAGAGAGAGAGAGAGAGAGAGAGAGAGAGAGAGAGAGAGAGAGAGAGAGGAAGGGGGAGAGAGAGAGAAGGAGAAGGAGACAAAGGGCAAGAGUUAGCAUCCAGGGUUGGCAACAUCACAAGUUCAUGUCUGCGUUCUACACCAGUUCUACAUCAGAUCACUGAACGGCCGAACACAUACCCGGUAAAUCGGCCAAAACAGGCAUUGGUCAACAGAUGCCAGCCUCCGUCACCUUCGUUAUUGUAUUUAUUAUAUAAAUGUAGGCUCUUGUUUAUCACUAUUAUUACAUGUCCUGUGUGCUGCCGUCUUACUAGCGAGUUGCUCCACGCGGGGCGUGGCCGCGGGCGUCUUGCGGGCGAUGGGUGGGGUCCUGAACCCCUGACCCGCCUCCACCCGCGGCCUCAGCCUGGGGCCUCCGUCCGUGGCCUCCACCCGCGGCCUCAGCCUGGGGCCUCCGUCCGUGGCCUCCACCCGCGGCCUCAGCCUGGGGCCUCCGUCCGUGGCCCCCGCCCGCGGCCUCAGCCUUGGCUGGGACAGCUGGAGGAUACGAGACGUAGCACCCCCACGGGGCAAAGAAUGGGCACGCUGCAGACACGCACACACACACACACACGUUUACACACGCACACACAGACCCACACGUAUAUACACAACCACUCACACUGA
This 1140-nucleotide long non-coding RNA is filed under the name Gadus morhua (Atlantic cod). Its description in RNAcentral is "lncRNA (ENSGMOG00000024553.1)". Lineage: Eukaryota; Metazoa; Chordata; Actinopteri; Gadiformes; Gadidae. The record is from RNAcentral.